GGUCCCAUCGUUCAGUCAGGCCUAGGACUCUAGAUUGUCAAUCUAGCAACAUGGGUUCAAAUCCCAUUGGGACCGCCA
Molecule: transfer RNA, 78 nt
Filed under: Chloroflexota bacterium
Lineage: Bacteria; Bacillati; Chloroflexota
Description: tRNA-Asp
Rfam family: tRNA
About the family: Transfer RNA (tRNA) molecules are approximately 80 nucleotides in length. Their secondary structure includes four short double-helical elements and three loops (D, anti-codon, and T loops).
Source: RNAcentral